RNAcentral lists this unclassified non-coding RNA (212 nucleotides) under soil metagenome. RNAcentral's name for it is "partial contains 5.8S ribosomal RNA, internal transcribed spacer 2, and large subunit ribosomal RNA". The record is from RNAcentral.
AACAAGGCGUACCUGCGGACCUGCGGAGGGAUCAUUACAAGUGACCCCGGUCUAACCACCGGGAUGUUCAUAACCCUUUGUUGUCCGACUCUGUUGCCUCCGGGGCGACCCUGCCUUCGGGCGGGGGCUCCGGGUGGACACUUCAAACUCUUGCGUAACUUUGCAGUCUGAGUAAACUUAAUUAAUAAAUUAAAACUUUUAGCAACGGAUCU